This 434-nucleotide ribosomal RNA is filed under the name uncultured Lachnospiraceae bacterium. Its description in RNAcentral is "partial 16S ribosomal RNA". It matches the Rfam family "Bacterial small subunit ribosomal RNA", at positions 341 to 792 of the family's 1533-position model. The record is from RNAcentral. Lineage: Bacteria; Bacillati; Bacillota; Clostridia; Lachnospirales; Lachnospiraceae.
ACGGAAGGCAGCAGUGGGGAAUAUUGCACAAUGGGGGAAACCCUGAUGCAGCGACGCCGCGUGAGUGAAGAAGUAUUUCGGUAUGUAAAGCUCUAUCAGCAGGGAAGAAAAUGACGGUACCUGACUAAGAAGCCCCGGCUAACUACGUGCCAGCAGCCGCGGUAAUACGUAGGGGGCAAGCGUUAUCCGGAUUUACUGGGUGUAAAGGGAGCGUAGACGGUUCUGCAAGUCUGAUGUGAAAGGCAGGGGCUCAACUCCUGGACUGCAUUGGAAACUGUAGAACUAGAGUGCCGGAGAGGUAAGCGGAAUUCCUAGUGUAGCGGUGAAAUGCGUAGAUAUUAGGAGGAACACCAGUGGCGAAGGCGGCUUACUGGACGGUAACUGACGUUGGGGCUCGAAAGCGUGGGGAGCAAACAGGAUUAGAUACCCUGGUA